UGAACUUCUGGAAGGGAAGCAUUUGAUUUAUCCACUGGCCCAUCAUUCCUGAAAGCUUUCAGAGCGCUGAAUGGAGCCGUCAGAAACCAACGUUGACUGCCUUUUUCUGUGGCUCUCCGUGUUACGUUUUGAGAUGGCAUCUCUUGCUGAACCCGGAGUGCAGAUUUGGAUAGACUGUCUGGAAGAGAGCUGUACGGAGCUUUCUCGGCCUCCCCAGUGCCAGGAUGACACACAGCCUUCCCAUAGACCUCUGGGGAGGACCCGGGAGUUACCAACACAGAGCGACUCUGUGAUUCUGUAUCGCACCAUGCAAGGAUACUAG
This 322-nucleotide long non-coding RNA is filed under the name Rattus norvegicus (Norway rat). Its description in RNAcentral is "long non-coding RNA NONRATT031476". Lineage: Eukaryota; Metazoa; Chordata; Mammalia; Rodentia; Muridae. The record is from RNAcentral.